RNAcentral lists this long non-coding RNA (264 nucleotides) under Salvia miltiorrhiza (redroot sage). RNAcentral's name for it is "long non-coding RNA (SMIL_LNC001331)". Lineage: Eukaryota; Viridiplantae; Streptophyta; Magnoliopsida; Lamiales; Lamiaceae. The record is from RNAcentral.
UUUUCAGAACAGAUUUUCAAAAUCUGUUGUACAAAUGCAUCGGGCACAACCCAUGGUCAGAGUCGGCUUCUCCGGCGUGAAACAUACGCCGGCCGAUAUGUCCUUUUGAUCGGCAUUUUGCAGCAGUCACAAUGGAGUUUUCGGAGCGGAAAAUGGUCGAGAAAAUGGCACUGGCCGUCAUUCUCCUCGAAGUUGAUGCUAUUCCUGAACAAAGAUAUGCAACUGUUGCUUUUGGUUCAAUUCAAUUCACCAUUCCUCACAGCA